RNAcentral lists this long non-coding RNA (2576 nucleotides) under Strongylocentrotus purpuratus (purple sea urchin). RNAcentral describes it as "uncharacterized LOC115929724". Lineage: Eukaryota; Metazoa; Echinodermata; Echinoidea; Camarodonta; Strongylocentrotidae. The record is from RNAcentral.
UCUAAACUUGCAUAUUUUCAUUGUUUAUGACUGGCAUCCUAUUCAAAAAGCCCGCUUCUCCUGCCAUUAUCUCUGUUGUUCAUUUUGCGACUUAUUGGUUGUUUUUAGCUGUGGGGUCACAUAUUGAAUAGUGAGCUCAAAGAUGACCAUAAAUAAACAAUGUGUAAAAAGAAAAUGUACGAAAUUUCAAUUUUGUUCCUUUAUUAAUAUUCUUGAUUUUAUUUACAAACUAUAGUAGUGACUAGUGCACUCAAAGAUAACCAUACAUAAACCAUGUGUAAAAAGAAAAUGUACACAUAGAAAUUUCAACCAAAAAAAAUCUCCUUUAUUAAUAGAAAAAAAAGCAUUCGAUCGAGAUAUUCCCGUUCUAUGUGCAUGUGUGCGCAAAAGUUUCAACGUAGAGGACAGUACGCAAGUACGUAAUUUGAAAAUUACCCGUUAUUUUUUUUCCCCACUGGCACUGCUGUGCGCAUCGGACUUUUGCUGAUUUUCGUUCAUCAAACGUCUCCAAAUCACACCAAAAUGUCUUCCAGCAAUUAUUCUAGCGAUGAAAUUUCAUCAAGAGAUAGUGACUCCUCAUACUCCGAUGCCUCCUUAUCCCAUUUUAGUGAUUCUUCCCAAGAAAGUGAGCCCGACAAAUGUUCAAAAUAUUACUAGUCCCACUCGUAGAGAAACGAGUUUGUUGUCGAAUUACGGACUAUCGACGAGCGGAACUGGCCCCAGAAAAACAGCUGAAAAGGAAUCAGAAAACACAACCUGCUAAAGCACCACGCAAGAAGAAGAGCAAGUCUUCCAAGUCCGAGAGUGUGUCUGCGAGGUAUGUCCUUACUAAGUAGAAAUCUAAAUCUAUUGUUGAUAAUUUUUUUGGGUUUAUUUAUUUCAUGUUUGUUAGUUAAGAUCUGACAUCAAAAUAUUAGAGUAGUUUACCUCAUCAUUAUGCUAGAACAAUAAUUUGCAGGUGGCACAAGUUCUACCUAGAUCUACAUUAUUUUUCUCUUUCCUUUUUAUUUUUUUCUUCAACAAAUUGUUCCUUUACUAUUUUCUUUUCUGUGUUUUAUGUUUUAUUUUAUGUAUGUUCACCCAAUAUAUCUAAGAAUAAAAUAACUCUAAUUAAUUGCCUACCUGAGUGGUUUACAUUUCAUGCACCUUGACAGCUCUUUGAUGACUCCGUUGUUUCACCAUCCGUUCGUCGUCAGCCUGGCAUCUUUUUUGCUAUCGUACUUUUGUACACACAUGUUCUGUGCCUUUGAAUUUUUCAUUAUGAAAUACAUAAAUACUUGUACUAAGUAUUAAUUGCAUGUUCAUAAAUGUACCAAUGCAUGAUUAUUCUAACCCCUAACUCACAUUUCAUUUAUAUCUUUACAGAUCAAUAGAAACUAAUCAAGCUACAAUGUACAUGUAACGUACAAUCACCAUUCGAUGCCUGUGAACAGCAUGACCAACAUCUGUAUCCUUUACAUUAGUAUUUGUUUCCAUUUUAUUAUGUAAUUCUUAUGUCUAAUCAUUGAGAUUUAUAGGCAAGUACAACAUGUAUGUGUACACAAUGAGUGCCUGCAUAUUGUGAAGAUAAAGGACCAUAAGACCAUUACUUAUGAUACAUGGUAAUGAUGGUAUACUUUGUAAAACUAUUUGAAAAUAGUAGCAUGUAAGUCUGUCAUUUUCUUGUUUAUAUAUAUCUCAAUGACAUGACAUGUCAUUGAUUUUGUAGUAAGUGUUUCUAGAUUAUGAUGAUUGUAUUAAGAUUUUGACAGUUCAAUUGAGAUUGAGAAAAUUAUGUAACAUGUCAACUGUACAAUAGAGCAUGCAUGCAUUGUUGAAAAAUCUGUUUUAUGAUUUAUUUUAUUUUGUUAUCUUUGUAAAUAACGAGAAAUUUUUUUUUACUUGUCAUGAUUUUCUCGAGGUUUGAAAAUGUUAUUACAUUAUUAAGAGCACUUUGCAAUUAAAUUGUAAUAAAAGAGACAGAAAACAACACUCUCAUGUCAAGAAUACUGCUUUAUUUGGUUACUAGUGAGGGAGAGAGCUUGUGAUCGCCUGGCAUAUCCACAUCGGCUCAGUAAUAGUCCUGAAACUCACCUGAAUACUUUAUUUGAACAAAAAUAGAAAGCUACAUUCUAGGUGGAUGAUAUUUUUUUAAGGCGGAGGCAUAUAGGAGACGCAGUCGCAUUUGUCUUGUUUUUUUUUUUUUAGAGUAUAAUCAUAGCAAACCAUGAACAACUCUAUUACUACAACAUGUACACUACAGUACUUAACCAAAGAUUGUAAAUAUCAGUUAAGUUCUUUAUUUAUUUGCUUACAUGAACACACAUACUAUACUAAACUCAUGUCAUUGUGUUUACCUCUCGAAAAUAAAGUACAUGUAUUUUAUUUGACAUGUUCCCUUUUAUUCUUUUUGUUUGUUACAGUCCACUGCCAUUAUAACGAGGUGCUCGAGACCAAGCCAAUUUCCUUGUUAAAAUGAAAUCAUGUUAUACUCAAGUUACUGAACACAUUGGUUUGUUUAAAAUUGGGACUGAUGAGAAUUGCCUGAUAAUAAAAUCUUGGUGUAUCCAUGUUCGUUAUAAUAGGAGUGGACUGUA